Molecule: long non-coding RNA, 464 nt
Filed under: Scophthalmus maximus (turbot)
Lineage: Eukaryota; Metazoa; Chordata; Actinopteri; Pleuronectiformes; Scophthalmidae
Description: lncRNA (ENSSMAG00000036090.1)
Source: RNAcentral
CGAAGUUAGUGGUGUGUUUGUUUGUGUGGCAGCGCUUUGAGUGCUGUGACCAUUGCUGAGUGUCGUAGUAGGAGAGGGUAUGUCUUUUAAAACGUUGCUUAUUCCGACAUGUGUUUUAACGAUUGUGAUGGUGCAUUAAGAUGGUUUCUUUUCCACUAGCGCAUGGGGUAAGAAUUGGGCAGACGCACUCCAAGCUGCACGAGAAGAUGUCCGAGGUCAGAACCGAACGCUGCAGGAGGACUCGAGUCUCCAGUACUGCUAAAAGAUUGUUUACCCUAGAGCCAUGUGUUGAACGGAGUUUGGAGGAGAACAUUGCUGAUCACCAUCUCUUUAAGAAGAAUCUUCUCGGGUCACGUGUUCCAAAGUUUUCAGGAGCCCUAGCACUAUGCAACACCAUGUUAGGUUUUAUAAAGAGGUUGAGUUUCUGUCAGUCCCUUGUAGAAGAAUUCAUCUGUUGUAUAUCU